Molecule: ribosomal RNA, 497 nt
Filed under: uncultured bacterium
Lineage: Bacteria
Description: partial 16S ribosomal RNA
Rfam family: Bacterial small subunit ribosomal RNA
Source: RNAcentral
GAUGAACGCUGGCGGCGUGCCUAAUACAUGCAAGUCGAGCGAACGGACGAGAAGCUUGCUUCUCUGAUGUUAGCGGCGGACGGGUGAGUAACACGUGGAUAACCUACCUAUAAGACUGGGAUAACUUCGGGAAACCGGAGCUAAUACCGGAUGAUAUUUUGAUCCGCAUGGUUCAAAAGUGAAAGACGGUCUUGCUGUCACUUAUAGAUGGAUCCGCGCUGCAUUAGCUAGUUGGUAAGGUAACGGCUUACCAAGGCAACGAUGCAUAGCCGACCUGAGAGGGUGAUCGGCCACACUGGAACUGAGACACGGUCCAGACUCCUACGGGAGGCAGCAGUAGGGAAUCUUCCACAAUGGGCGAAAGCCUGACGGAGCAACGCCGCGUGAGUGAUGAAGGUCUUCGGAUCGUAAAACUCUGUUAUUAGGGAAGAACAUAUGUGUAAGUAACUGUGCACAUCUUGACGGUACCUAAUCAGAAAGCCACGGCUAACUACGUG